CCCACGCUUCUUUUGGAAAUCCGCAGGAACGGGCUGUUUGAUACUUUUUAAUCCCUGCAGAAAUUAAGCACCAUUCACAAACAAUUGUUACGGUAUUAGUUGACGAGAAUCUGUAUCAGAAAUUCUGGUCGCCCUUACAUUGCGUUCUAGUUUUACGCUAAAACUUCCGUAGCAUUACAACCAGUCAUAUCUUACCCCUUCGCCUGAUGUUACACUGAAUUCUUGUUCUUCCCACAAACCAAUGAGAAGCCAUUCUUUAUAUCCGUCAGUGUUACCAGCAUAAUAGCACCAGCCUGACAUUGGAAUCUGAUGGACAGAAUGAGUACUGAUGUCAUAGUUGGGCCCAGUCUUGAAUGACCUCCUCUGGGGCUGCCAUGUGUCCUGGGGGUUUGAGAGGAGUACUCCCACCUAGGAUGUUGCUCGUUCAUUGAAUCAUGGGAAGACAGCUGCCUACAUCCUUAGAAGUGAGCUCCCUCCAAUGGGAGCAUCCUAAUGGAAAAGGAACCUCAGAAGGCAACGCAUGUGGGAUGCACUUUGAAGACAGGAUGACAUCACAGAAAAAGGGCGAGAGCAAGCGCGAGCAUGCCCUGGAGAGUCGCUUUGAUUGGCAGAAUUUAAUAGUUUUCUUUUCUCAAGUCACAGGGAAAAAAAAAAAAUGUGCAUCAUUUUUCUAAAAU
This is a long non-coding RNA of Anguilla rostrata (American eel), 677 nucleotides long. RefSeq lists it as uncharacterized. The record is from RefSeq and is a predicted model, not a curated record. Lineage: Eukaryota; Metazoa; Chordata; Actinopteri; Anguilliformes; Anguillidae. The transcript is spliced from 5 exons.